RNAcentral lists this ribosomal RNA (727 nucleotides) under uncultured bacterium. RNAcentral describes it as "bacterial SSU rRNA". It matches the Rfam family "Bacterial small subunit ribosomal RNA", at positions 38 to 747 of the family's 1533-position model. The record is from RNAcentral.
GGCGGCGUGCCUAAUACAUGCAAGUCGAGCGAACGGACGAGAAGCUUGCUUCUCUGAUGUUAGCGGCGGACGGGUGAGUAACACGUGGAUAACCUACCUAUAAGACUGGGAUAACUUCGGGAAACCGGAGCUAAUACCGGAUAAUAUUUUGAACCGCGUGGUUCAAAAGUGAAAGACGGUCUUGCUGUCACUUAUAGAUGGAUCCGCGCUGCAUUAGCUAGUUGGUAAGGUAACGGCUUACCAAGGCAACGAUGCAUAGCCGACCUGAGAGGGUGAUCGGCCACACUGGAACUGAGACACGGUCCAGACUCCUACGGGAGGCAGCAGUAGGGAACCUUCCGCAAUGGGCGAAAGCCUGACGGAGCAACGCCGCGUGAGUGAUGAAGGUCUUCGGAUCGUAAAACUCUGUUAUUAGGGAAGAACAUAUGUGUAAGUAACUGUGCACAUCUUGACGGUACCUAAUCAGAAAGCCACGGCUAACUACGUGCCAGCAGCCGCGGUAAUACGUAGGUGGCAAGCGUUAUCCGGAAUUAUUGGGCGUAAAGCGCGCGUAGGCGGUUUUUUAAGUCUGAUGUGAAAGCCCACGGCUCAACCGUGGAGGGUCAUUGGAAACUGGAAAACUUGAGUGCAGAAGAGGAAAGUGGAAUUCCAUGUGUAGCGGUGAAAUGCGCAGAGAUAUGGAGGAACACCAGUGGCGAAGGCGACUUUCUGGUCUGUAACUGACGCU